This 22-nucleotide microRNA is filed under the name Homo sapiens (human). Its description in RNAcentral is "hsa-miR-5693". Lineage: Eukaryota; Metazoa; Chordata; Mammalia; Primates; Hominidae. The record is from miRBase by way of RNAcentral.
GCAGUGGCUCUGAAAUGAACUC